Molecule: ribosomal RNA, 755 nt
Filed under: Mecodema cf. oconnori MB21
Lineage: Eukaryota; Metazoa; Arthropoda; Insecta; Coleoptera; Carabidae
Description: partial 16S ribosomal RNA
Rfam family: Bacterial large subunit ribosomal RNA (bases 1-581)
Source: RNAcentral
GUCCUUUUGUUUUAUAUUUAAGGUUUAACCUGCCCACUGAAUAAUUUAAAUGGCCGCAGUAUUUUAACUGUGCAAAGGUAGCAUAAUCAUUAGUUUUUUAAUUAAAAGCUUGUAUGAAAGGUUGGACGAGGUAAAAACUGUCUUUAUUUAAAUUAUUAUAAAAUUUAAUUUUUAAGUUAAAAAGCUUAAAUUUUUUUAAAAGACGAGAAGACCCUAUAGAUCUUUAUAUUUAUUAUUUUAUUUUUAAUUAAGAUUUAUUUAAAUUUUAUUUUAUUAAAUAUUUUAUUGGGGUAAUAAGAAGAUUAAAAAAAUUCUUUUAUAUAUUAUUCAUUGAUUAAUGUUUAAAUGAUCCAAUUUUAUUGAUUAUAAGAUUAAGUUACCUUAGGGAUAACAGCGUAAUUUUUUUAGAGAGUUCAUAUCGAUAAUAAAGUUUGCGACCUCGAUGUUGGAUUAAAGAUUAAUUUAGGUGUAGAUGUUUAAAUUUUUGGUCUGUUCGACCAUUAAAUCUUUACAUGAUCUGAGUUCAGACCGGUGUAAGCCAGGUCGGUUUCUAUCUUUAAUAAAAUAAUAUAUUUUAGUACGAAAGGACCAAAUAUAUAAUAUAUAAAUAUUUAUUAAUUUUUGAAUAUUAUUAAUUACUUUGGCAGAUUAGUGCAAUGAAUUUAGAAUUCAUAUAUGUAAAUUUUUACAAGUAAUACUUGUUUUAUAUAGAUAUAAUAUUUUCUUUUAUUUGUAUAUUAUUAUUAGUUAUUUGU